This 465-nucleotide long non-coding RNA is filed under the name Rattus norvegicus (Norway rat). RNAcentral describes it as "long non-coding RNA NONRATT031745". The record is from RNAcentral. Lineage: Eukaryota; Metazoa; Chordata; Mammalia; Rodentia; Muridae.
AUGAAUAAUUUAGACAGAUACAGGUUAUCUCUGUGCAUAGCUCCACAUGUACUGUGGGGUCAGACUCCGAGAGAUUCAUUAUUUGGGAGUGACGUCUUAAGAAAGAAGUCUCUUAUACAAAUCAUGAUUGACAACUAUGAUCAAAUAUUUGGAAAUGAUGAUACAUUUAGUAAACACAUUGACAAAAGGUCUGAAGACUUAAACACAUACAAAGAAUCACUAAAUUAUUCUGGAAAAUCUCCUAUCAUGACAAAAGCCAUAGCUGGACACAACUGGAAAACCAAUGAUAUUGAUGAAAAAUUUAAUAUUUCAUAUGCUGCACUGCAGGAAGAAGGUCCUACAGGUAAGACAAGAUUUAUUUAUUCAUCAAAUGAAUGGAAUAAUUUGAUCAAAUCAUUUCAUGAUGUCAUAAAUUUGUGUAUAUCAGAGAAGCUUUGGGACACAAAAUGAUUAUUAGAGUAUGGG